UACAUAUAUGUACAUACUUACCUAUAUAUGUAUAUAUAUAUGCAUAUAUGGGUACAGGACGUCCCAAAACAUACACAACAUGAAUUACGAAAUAUGUAAACAACAUAAAAUACAAAGGCAAACUUGGGUAUGCGAACAAUGAGAGAAAGAAAUGGAAAACAAGACCAUCUAGUCCACCUUUUGAGAAAUUAACAACAAUAUGAGGCUUCGAAAAACAGUUGCUCCCAUAAACCAAAAUAAAACUAGGGAUUUGAGGAGGGUCAAAGUUGGUAACAAAAACAGGACAGUGGAAACAUACAAGGAAAUCAAAUGAAAACAAAGAUGGAGGGCUGUUAGGCCAGACAAGGUUGAACUAUGUAGAGAAAGAGACCUAGCUGUUUCCUGCAAUACAUACAUUUCAAUGAAACCUUUUCAUGGAUCUUUAAAACACUACUUGUGGAUCCCCAAUUUACUAUUUUGCUAGUGUGGACCUCUGAAAUCCUAGAUGAGCCCCAGUCGAAAACUACUGGUGUAGGUCUAUAGACAGUGACUGUGAAGAAACAAUGAGAGAAAAUAGGGUAAAUUUUUCUGACACUGAAGGUACUGGAACUGCAGAAAAAAAAAAAAAAAAAAAAAAAGAGAAAAACAUGCAAGUUAUUUCAAAACCAUAUGCUUUUCUCCCCUGUUAAAAGAGGAAAAAAAAAUCUAUUGUUUUUAAUGACUAUAGAUUAAUUUUAUAAUGCUGCGUUAUGGCGUGUUGUGGAGCCCAGAACAAGGAUGAAAUAUUACUGUCCACAACUACUGAAAAGUUAAAAAAAUGAAUUAUAUGGAAAUAAUUUAUGCUCUUUUCACUCUCUGAUAAUGAUUUCUCAACAUAAGAAAAAAACAAAAAACCGAGAAGCGAUUCCCUCCCCUUAAGUAGUAGUUCCCAGUGAGAUGACCACAUGAAAGUAAGAAAAUUCUCCAAAAGAGAAAAGCAUUAAUAGAAGGCAACACACGUGCAACAGGCUGUAGUGAUGGCAGUAGUUUGCCAUGAUUGUGGGAGCAUUUCUGGAGAAAUGAUCAUCAAACUAGCUAAAGUAUUUCAUAACCAACUAAAUAUUUGAAUGGUUUGGUUUCAUUGUUUUAACAAGCAACAUCAUGUGAGGUGAGAAGUGUUGAUAAAGUUGUUGAUUAGAAAUUUAGAGCCAAACCUUAAAUAUAUAAAAACAUGACAGAUCAAUAGCCACUACACAUUCUUUUUUUUUUCUCCUUGUUUCUUUCUGUGUAAGUGUGUAGGCUCAAAACGUUAAAGACUUUUUCACUUCCUGAGCAUUAAACUAAUAUAUCUGUUUGUUGUCUACACCAGGGGUUUUCAAACUGUGGUCCCUGGACCACAGGGGGUCUGCAAGGACAAGACAGGGGUUCUGUGGAUAGCAAAUACUUUUUAUGGGCAAUUUGAUUUUAUAUAUGCUUUUUAAUCGAAAUCUUUUAAUUGACAAUAAACCUAUUUGUUAAAUACUGUUAAAUAAAUAGAUGUAAAAAUAUAUAUUUUAAGGAAAUAUUUAUGUAUAAAUUUCAUAAGCGUUUAUAAGGAGGUCCCUAAGGUAAAGCCUGAAAUAUAAAGGGGUCCGCAAGUCAAAAAGUUUGAAAACCCCUGGUCUACACCACCUGUCAUCGUCUUGUUUUUUUUGUGAAUUCUCCCCAUAUAUAAAAACAAACUCUACAAGACAUGUUUCAAUGAUCAAUUUACAAGAAUACUUUGCAACACCAGAAAAGCAUCUAGAAUCCUCUUUGUAGCAUCUCUGCUGCAAAUAUCCUGCUCAAUGACCAAGAUGCAAACCUACUUAAUAGAUUUCAAGAUUUGGCACAAGGCCAGCAAUUUCAGAGGGAGCGGGUAAGUCGAUUACAUCGACUCUGAAAGGAUGAAAGGCAAAGUUGGCCUCAGCAGGAAUUUUAACUCAGAAUGUGGUGAUGGACAAAAUGCCACUAGAUAUUAACUUAACCCUUUAGCAUUUAAACCAGCCAUAUUCGGCCCAAAUAUUCUACUUCCUUUAUGUUCAAACUGGCCUCUCACAUCUAGCCUACAAUGUCAUUUUAAAAAUAAACAAUCUCAGUAGUGAAAUCUCAAAAAUUAUGAGAUAAUACAUGACGAAUUCAAAAUGAUGUGAAUAAGCAUGGAUUACAUUUGACAGAAUAUGAAUGCUAAAAGGUUAAUAUUGAAUGUUAUAUACAUUUUGAAAAUGAUUUACUAUAAAAGAUGGAGUAAAUAAAUUAUUGUUUUUUAUAUAUUUGUUUUACAGGCCUAUUUUUCUUUGCUUUUUUCUACUAAUUUUGUGUCCCAGAAGUAAGUUUGUUAUAAAGAGAUCCAGUAAAUGGAACUAGGUCUAUGCUUAUUAUAUAGUCUAUGAAUUACUUUGCCAUUUUUUAAAACCUCAAGUGUGACUGGUUUAGCAAGUUUCCUAUUUUGGGAGUUGUCUGCUCCCAAAUCACUUGUAUUUGAGAUGUUAAAGCUGAUUGAUUUCACCAACGAUCGGUGCUCAGCCCCCUCUUGUUCAUCAUAGUCUUCCAGGCAAUAACAAAGGAAUUUAAGACAGGCUGCCCCUGGGAGCUCCUCUAGGCUGAUGAUCUUCCUCUUAUAAAGCAAUCACUUCCACAACUAGAGAAGUUCCUGGUAUGGAAACAAGGUCUAAAAUCGAAGGGCCUUGGAGUUAACCUAGCAAAAGCCAAAGUCUUAGUAAGUAAGAAGAUAGACAGAUCACAAAUCUCUUCAGGUAGGUGGCCCUGCACAAGCUAUAGAAAAGGCGUAGGUAGAAAUUUCAUAAGAUGCACCCGGGUAAGCCUUGGCUACAUAAAAAGUGCAGCAAUAUCACAGGAAGGUUAACAGGGAAACUAGCUUUUGUAUGUGGAAGAUGUACAGGUACAAUAAAUGCUGAAAAAGGGCAGAAAAUAGACUCCAUUAACUGCCAGUGAGGCAAACUAGAGGUAGUAGAUAGCUUCCAUUAUUUAGGCGACCAACUUAGUAGUGGAGGGAGCGCUCUGAGAGCAUAGCUGGGAAAAGUUCAGAGAGCUCCUAAUACUGCUGGCAACAAAGGGCCUCUCUCUCAGAAUGAAAGGCAGAUAAUGAUGCCUGUAUGUGAACAACUAUGCUACAUUGCAGUGAAACAUGGGCUGUGACAGCCGAGGACAUGCGUAGGCUUGAAAAAAAUGAAGCCAGUAUGGGCAAUGUCGGGAUGUUGGACAGUGUAAACAUCUUGAGAGACAAGUUAGGCACAAGAGGCAUCAGAGGCGGUGUGCAAGAAAGACGAUUGUGCUGAUAUGGUCAUGUGAUGCGCAUGUACAAGGAGAACUGUGCAUAGAAGUGCUGAUCUGUAACUGUGGAGGGAACCUGUGGUAGAGGAAGACCCAAGAAGACACAGGACGAAGUGGUGAAGCAUGAUCUUUGAACCUCACAGAGGUAAGGACUAGUGACCAAAACCUUUGGCGAUAUGCUGUGCUUAAGACUUGUCAAGCCAAUUGAAAUCGUAGUCAUGACUGAUGUUGGGGUCACAUAACUGGCACUCAUGACAGUGGCACGUAAAGAGCACUGUUGGAGCAUUGGGCCUCAUGGAGGCAAAGUGGCCAAGUUCCUUUCAAGCGUUGGGCCUCACAGAGUCAAACUGUCUGAGUUUCUUUCAAUUGUUGGGCCUCACAGAGGCAAUGACCAAAACCAUUGGCAUUAUGUCGUGCUUGAGAAGAAGACCCAUCAAGCUGAGCAAAAUAGCAGUCAUGACAGAUACUGGUGUCAUGCAAAAGCACCCAUUACACUCUCGGAGUGGUUGACAUUAGGAGGGGCAUCCAACCGUACAAAACCAUGCCAAAUCAGACUGGAGUCUGGUGCAGCCUUCCAGCUUACCAGCCCUAGUCAAACUGCCCAAACCAUGCCAGCAUGGACAACAGACAUUAAAUGAUAAUGAGAUAGAUAUGCAAAUCCAGAAGACAAUUAAUGUUAUAUCCUGAGAAGUUAGUGCUACGCUUAGUGAUCAGAUUACUAGUUUUCUAGGCAGCUGAAGAAUAAGGUUCCAACACUUUUGCUGAGGGAAUAAUCACUGCUGAAACACUGCAAAAGGACAAAUUAUUUUUCUGUUACAUCAAAAUAAUAAUAGUAUAGUUCUAUUUUCAGACUAAGCUACAUCUAUAUACAAAUGAUAACUAGUAAGAGAGAAUGAGUACUGUCAAAAUUCUACAGCCAUUUUCAUGGUAAUAGGUGAUCAAACUACUUUUGUGGUAUCUUGCUUGUCUAUACACAAUGUUUCCAGAAAAGCCUAUUUUAAUGAUUACAGCAUCAACCAGCAGAGUUGUUCCUGUGUUUGCUGAUUACAAUAAUUAAUCAUGUUAAUGAGAAAACGUUUAAAAUGUUCAAAGGAUGUCAUUAUUGACACAACUAAUUCUCUCCACACAAAUGAAAUUUAAGACAUAAAUUUAGACCAGGCCUAGGUCAGCUGUAAGUGAUAUUCCUCUAUACUAGAAGCAAUAUUAUGAAUUAGCUUAACAUUAAGCAUUUAAAUGACAUAUUUUAAAUAGUAUCACAAAAUAAUUGUUUCUUUGGUUUAGCACAAUACAAAUUUUGUUAGAAGGCAAAGUAUAAAUAGGAGUCUAUCCUAUUAUAAUAUAGAGGUGUCUGUUCUAUUCUAAAAACAGAAAAUACAAAAGUAACAUAAAAAUAAACAAGCAAAUUUAAAAAACUUUAUUUAAACAAAGAAGUUAAAAUAGUUUAUUCAUAUUCAGUUUAUUUUAUUUAUUCAAAUAUUUUUUGCACUGAAUUCAGAAGCAAUGCAAUGAAAUAGUUCCCCUUAGAUAUUACUGGUGAUCCAUGAGGAAAGCAAUGAAAUUUCAGAUUAAAAUUUGAAAAUCUUUAGCCUAAUAGACAAAAAUGAAUGCAGUAAUGAGGAAUUGCCCCAACUCCAUUCAAGUUUAUCACGAGAGAUAAUAGGAAUAAUUUAUGAGUUACCAACAACAAAGGCAGAACUGCACAACUAGUUUUCAUUUUCUUCUCUUAAAAUGUAUCUAUUGUUCAUGCUCUCCAAAAUUUGGUAAUUAAAAAAAAAAAAAUUUAAAAAAA
Molecule: long non-coding RNA, 5059 nt
Organism: Octopus bimaculoides (California two-spot octopus)
Lineage: Eukaryota; Metazoa; Mollusca; Cephalopoda; Octopoda; Octopodidae
Source: RefSeq, a predicted model, not a curated record